RNAcentral lists this ribosomal RNA (1445 nucleotides) under uncultured cyanobacterium. RNAcentral describes it as "bacterial SSU rRNA". It matches the Rfam family "Bacterial small subunit ribosomal RNA". Lineage: Bacteria; Bacillati; Cyanobacteriota. The record is from RNAcentral.
AGAGUUUGAUCCUGGCUCAGGAUGAACGCUGGCGGCGUGCUUAACAAUGCAAGUCGAACGAACCUUCGGGUUAGUGGCGGACGGGUGAGUAACGCGUGAGAAUCUGCCCUCAGGAGGGGGAUAACGGUUGGAAACGACCGCUAAUACCCCAUAUGCCGCGAGGUGAAAUGAAUUUCGCCUGAGGAUGAGCUCGCGUCUGAUUAGUUAGUUGGUGGGGUAAAGGCCUACCAAGACAUCGAUCAGUAGCUGGUCUGAGAGGAUGAUCAGCCACACUGGGACUGAGACACGGCCCAGACUCCUACGGGAGGCAGCAGUGGGGAAUUUUCCGCAAUGGGCGAAAGCCUGACGGAGCAACGCCGCGUGAGGGAUGAAGGCCUCUGGGCUGUAAACCUCUUUUAUCAAGGAAGAAGAUCUGACGGUACUUGAUGAAUAAGCCACGGCUAAUUCCGUGCCAGCAGCCGCGGUAAUACGGGAGUGGCAAGCGUUAUCCGGAAUUAUUGGGCGUAAAGCGUCCGCAGGCGGUCUGUCAAGUCUGCUGUUAAAGCGUGGAGCUUAACUCCAUUUCGGCAGUGGAAACUGACAGACUAGAGUGUGGUAGGGGCAGAGGGAAUUCCCGGUGUGGCGGUGAAAUGCGUAGAUAUCGGGAAGAACACCAGUGGCGAAGGCGCUCUGCUGGGCCAUAACUGACGCUCAUGGACGAAAGCCAGGGAGCGAAAGGGAUUAGAUACCCCUGUAGUCCUGGCCGUAAACGAUGAACACUAGGUGUCGGGGGAAUCGACCCCCUCGGUGUCGUAGCCAACGCGUUAAAGUGUUCCGCCUGGGGAGUACGCACGCAAGUGUGAAACUCAAAGGAAUUGACGGGGGCCCGCACAAGCGGUGGAGUAUGUGGUUUAAUUCGAUGCAACGCGAAGAACCCUUACCAGGGUUUGACAUCCUGCGAAUCUCUUGGAAACGAGAGAGUGCCUUCGGGAACGCAGUGACAGGUGGUGCAUGGCUGUCGUCAGCUCGUGUCGUGAGAUGUUGGGUUAAAAAACCGCAAACGAGCGCAACCCACGUCGUUAGUUGCCAGCAUUUAGUUGGGCACUCUAGCGAGACCGCCGGUGAUAAACCGGAGGAAGGUGUGGAUGACGUCAAGUCAUCAUGCCCCUUACAUCCUGGGCUACACACGUACUACAAUGCUACGGACAAAGGGCAGCAAACUCGCGAGAGCUAGCAAAUCCCAUAAACCGUGGCUCAGUUCAGAUCGUAGGCUGCAACUCGCCUACGUGAAGGAGGAAUCGCUAGUAAUCGCAGGUCAGCAUACUGCGGUGAAUACGUUCCCGGGCCUUGUACACACCGCCCGUCACACCAUAGAGUUGGCCACGCCCGAAGCCGUUACUCCAACCCUUGRRAAGGGACGUCGAAGGUGGGGCUGAUGACUGGGGUGAAGUCGUAACAAGGUAACC